RNAcentral lists this ribosomal RNA (217 nucleotides) under uncultured bacterium. Its description in RNAcentral is "partial 16S ribosomal RNA". It matches the Rfam family "Bacterial small subunit ribosomal RNA", at positions 114 to 334 of the family's 1533-position model. The record is from RNAcentral.
UACAUCGGAACGUGCCCAGUCUGGGGGGAUAACUACGCGAAAGCGUAGCUAAUACCGCAUACGAUCUACGGAUGAAAGCGGGGGAUCGCAAGACCUCGCGCGAUUGGAGCGGCCGAUGGCAGAUUAGGUAGUUGGUGGGGUAAAGGCUCACCAAGCCGACGAUCUGUAGCUGGUCUGAGAGGACGACCAGCCACACUGGGACUGAGACACGGCCCAG